This 1518-nucleotide ribosomal RNA is filed under the name Triticum aestivum (bread wheat). Its description in RNAcentral is "partial small subunit ribosomal RNA". The record is from RNAcentral. Lineage: Eukaryota; Viridiplantae; Streptophyta; Magnoliopsida; Poales; Poaceae.
AUGCCGCCCAAAGAGCUGCCCGGGUUCUACUACGACCCGGACAAGAACCGCUACUUCCCCACCAAGGGCCGCAUCCCCGGCGCCGCCACCCGCCCUCCUCGCCCUCCGCCGCCGCCGGCCGAGCCCUCGCCUCCUCCCACAGCACGCAGGAAAAGGGCGAGGCAGUCCGAGCUGCUGCAUGCCAGGGAGAUGUACGGCGGUGGUGUGAUAUUCUCCAAGAACAACAAGUCCACCUUCAAGCAGCAGUGCCAGUACACACAGGCGUCGCAGCCGAUGGUUUGGAAGUACCAAGGCACAACCUUAGUGGCUGAUAAGGCACUGGAGGAACUGCACGCCAUGGUUCAGACACCGAGUGGACUGCGUGAGUCCAAGCUAUUAGCGACCGGCAGCACGAAUGGUUCAAUCAGAUUAUUUGGGUUAGGAACUGCUCUAGAGAAUUUUGAGGAUGGGAUGGAGUUUUUACCUCAGCCUGUUUGGACUCCCUUGGGAAAGCAGAUAGCAGCAGUGAAUUCUCCACUUGCAAAUAUCUGGUCAUCUGAAACAGCGUUCUCAAACUUCUCAUCCAGUAUAUUUUGCAUAAAAAAGUUCGGGCGCAACUUCCAUGAUGCAGCCAGCACCAACUCAUCAGUUCAGCAAGCAUUGGUGGCUACUCUUGGAUCUGGAGGAUCUGGUGGUUCUGUUUAUAUUAUGGAUAUGUCAACUAUUGACUCUGCAACGGUUUCACGGAAUGCCCAUGAAAGAAUUGAAAGAGUUGCUUCAUUUGAUCGUACAGUAUGGACUGCUGAUUGUAAUUCUGAUGGCACACAAGUAGUUUUAGGUACAAACACUGGCGCUGGUUUGCUUAAUUUGGAGACAGGGACGUUAUCAUGGCUGUAUCGUUGUAAAAGUGACAUUCUUUCCCAGCAAUUUGUGCACUCGGGAAAUGUGGUGCUAUGUGGCCUACGGAAUGGGAGCAUAGUCCCUGUGGAUGUGCGGGAAAGGCACAGUAAUCACCCUACUGGUCGAUCUUCACCUAGCACUGCUAGGGGGACAGUUCCCAUGCUGUCUGCAAGGCAUAAUGGCAGAGGGAGAAACCAGGCUGAUAAGGCAAAAUCAUCUAGGGUUAUCUCUAUGCCUUCAGCAGUUUGCAGCCUGGUUUCUCUGUCGUCGGAUGAACACUACUUCUUAGGGAGCUCCAUGGAUGGAUCGAUCAAGCUAUUUGAUCUCCGUCUCAUUCAGAAGGGGGCUAUACAGUCUUAUGCAGGGCAUGUGAAUUCACACAAUAAUUUACCACUUGUUGUUGAUCCAUCUGAAACCCUACUUAUGUCAGGUGGGGAGGACUGUACCGUCCGUAUUUGGAGCAUCAAAACAGGCGAGCAAAUAUUUGCCAAGAGUGUGGCUGACACUCUCUUCACUGCACUUUGCUGGCCAGAAAGCAACCUUAACUUGGAUGGUUCUUCUUCGCUGUUUGAUCUAAACCACAGUUGGGGGGCUUGGAUGGGAUCACGUGAUGGCCUGUUCUACAUGCAUGGUACUUAA